Molecule: ribosomal RNA, 443 nt
Filed under: uncultured bacterium
Lineage: Bacteria
Description: partial 16S ribosomal RNA
Rfam family: Bacterial small subunit ribosomal RNA
Source: RNAcentral
CCUACGGGUGGCAGCAGUGGGGAAUAUUGCGCAAUGGGCGCAAGCCUGACCCAGCAACGCCGCGUGCACGAAGAAGGCUUUCGGGUUGUAAACUUCUUUUCUCAGGGACGAAGAAAGUGAAGGUACCUUAGGAAUAAGCCACUGCUAACUACGUGCCAGCAGCCGCGGUAAUAAGUUGGUGGCAAACGUUAUACGGAUUUAUUGGGUGGAAAGGGCGUGUAGGCGGGAGCGCAAGUCAGAUGUGAAAACCCAGGGCUCAACCCUGGGCCUGCAUUUGAUACUUUGUUUCUUGAGUGCGGGAGAGGCAAGAGGAAUUCCGUGUGUAGCGGUGAAAUGCGUAGAUAUACGGAGGAACACCAGUGGCGAAGGCGGAUUGCUGGACAGUAACUGACGCUGAGGGGCGAAAGCGUGGGGAGCAAACAGGAUUAGAUACCCCGGUAGUC